Molecule: ribosomal RNA, 256 nt
Filed under: uncultured prokaryote
Description: partial 16S ribosomal RNA
Rfam family: Bacterial small subunit ribosomal RNA
Source: RNAcentral
UACGGAGGAUGCAAGCGUUAUCCGGAUUUAUUGGGUUUAAAGGGUGCGUAGGCGGGACUGUAAGUCAGGGUGAAAUACUGCAGCUUAACUGUAGCAUUGCCUUUGAAACUGCCGUUCUUGAGUACAGUUGAGGUAGGCGGAAUGUGUUGUGUAGCGGUGAAAUGCUUAGAUAUGACACAGAACACCGAUUGCGAAGGCAGCUUACUGGGAUGCCACUGACACUGAGGCACGAAAGCGUGGGUAUCAAACAGGAUUA